UCCGGCAGCGGCCGGGCGCGGGUUCUGAGCGGCGGCAGCAGCGCGUGCGUGUCUGCGGCGCCGGCCAACGACGGCCGCGGGCUGGGGCCGCGGGCAGGGCGGGACACGCGGUGGCGGCGCCGCUGCGGGCUGGGUGCGGCGGCGCCCGCUCGGCCAGGGAAACGCCAGAGCGCCGGGAUGUCGCGGCACGGGCUGCCUCGGGAAGCGGCGGAGCCCGGCAGGCCAGCUAAAACUGAAUUAUUUGGCUUUACGUCCUGAAUGUGGAAGUCCAGCACAUGCUUUUGUAUGUGAAUAGUCACCUUGAAAUCACUGGGAACAGCUGUCACAGUCGUGGGAAGCUUCAUGUCUGACAUGGAUCUGAAGCCUUCUGCAGAUGUUUACACGGAACAUGACUUUUCUAAAUUGUGUGCUUUUAUUUACUUUGAUGGGAUUAUUUGCCCCAAGUUAGGUGACAAAAAAGGGAGGUGGAAACCCGAUUCCCAUAAAUGGAGUUUCCACAGUUCGAGCCCGCUGUGCGCACCCCGAGCAGCAGCUUGCCUGUUCCCUGGAGCAUGUGCCAACACUGCCGUCUAGCCUCCACCAAGGCUUUGUGCACUUUUGCUUCUUGGCUGCCUGUGUUCAUGUGCUAAUACAGCUUUGCCAAGCCUCUGUCGGCAACUCAAGGUCCUGUAAUACUGACUUUUCUGUGGAAACAAAGAAUCGUUUGAAGUGGUCACAGCACGAGAUGAGGGAUGGAAGACAGCAGCAAACAGUAGAGGAGAUCUGAAGUGGCAAUGCAUCAAGAAAACUCACAGUCUGUGUUUCCAGAUAGGGAAAUGAAACCCAUCUGUCCAAACUCUUACAAGAUACCUGACAGCACAAGACAGAAAAACCAAUUCCAGGUCUGUUCAGUAUUUCUAAUGACAAAGCAUUUGCAAUGUCAUUGAACAGGGUCUCCUGACAUAUCACCCCCUGACAUGUCCUUUGGGCUCAGUGUUGAAUCCUGUGUGUCUCUCUCUCUCCCUUAUCCUUCUCUGUCUCAUACCACAAAUACAUCUUUUUUACUCUUUCCCCACAGAAGCUGCAGCUUUUGCUUCUUGGUGUGUGGUGAUCUGCGAGCUACUUCUCUGAAAUAGUUUGAAGUGCUGUGUUUAGGUUUUAUAUGCAUAUUUCAUCUGGUCACCUUGGGAUUUUAAAACUUCAUAUGGCUUCCAUUCACUAUGAACUUGCAUUUGUUUACCAAAAUCUGAAUCUAUAUAGCCUUUAGGUUACAGAUGGUAGUGCAUAAAUAAUAAAGAAGAUAACAAAUAUAUAAAAUAUUUUUACUAUAUAUGUGAAUAUAUGUUAUUAUUUUUAAAGAGGCAGAAGGGCUCUAGUUUGAAAUUGCAC
Long non-coding RNA from Motacilla alba alba, 1368 nucleotides. RefSeq lists it as uncharacterized. NCBI's taxonomy places the organism in Eukaryota, Metazoa, Chordata, Aves, Passeriformes, Motacillidae. The transcript has 3 exons. The record is from RefSeq and is a predicted model, not a curated record.